Molecule: non-coding RNA, 539 nt
Organism: Triticum urartu
Lineage: Eukaryota; Viridiplantae; Streptophyta; Magnoliopsida; Poales; Poaceae
Source: RefSeq, a predicted model, not a curated record
UAACACAUACAACUAUGAUUAACACAUUCUUUUUAGUAUUUACAUUGGCAUUCUUUUGUCACUGGACAAUUUUUUGUCACAUAUAAUGAUGUUUAUGAAUCUGUUCAUGUAUUUUCGAGCUUUAGAUGAGUAUAUAUACUACCAACCCUUGCUUGUCCUUUCAGACUAGGCCUACCAGGCUACCACAAGGUCACCUCAGUUGAUUUCAGACUAGGCGAGCUCCUGGAUAGCCUUUGCAAUUCGAUGCUCGGGAUGCGGUGGCAUGUGAGAGGACAAGCAGGCGUGGGGCUAUUUAUGGUUGUCUGAUCAUUGUACUUUGGGACAUUGUACUUUUAGGACGUCAUUAGUGGUCACUUGGGAUGGGUGUGAUCUGUAGCAUUUGAUCCGGGGAACAGAUGGUUUUGUCUUGGUUCUGCUGAUAGGGCAAUAACGGCAAGGAAGAAGGUUGUAGAGUGCGGAUGGAUGUGAAAAGGAAGAGGAUGGAUGCGAGAAGAGAGAAGAGGGGUGAAAGAGGAUAUGGCUAGAAAGAGGAAGAAGGA